This 253-nucleotide ribosomal RNA is filed under the name uncultured bacterium. RNAcentral's name for it is "partial 16S ribosomal RNA". It matches the Rfam family "Bacterial small subunit ribosomal RNA", at positions 524 to 776 of the family's 1533-position model. The record is from RNAcentral.
UACGUAGGGUGCGAGCGUUGUCCGGAAUUAUUGGGCGUAAAGGGCGCGUAGGCGGCUUUGCAAGUGACGGGUGAAAUCCCUCGGCUUAACCGAGGAACUGCCUGUCAAACUGCAUGGCUUGAGACCGGGAGAGGUGAGUGGAAUUCCCAGUGUAGCGGUGAAAUGCGUAGAUAUUGGGAGGAACACCAGUGGCGAAGGCGGCUCACUGGACCGAGAUUGACGCUGAUGCGCGAAAGCCAGGGGAGCAAACGGG